This 448-nucleotide ribosomal RNA is filed under the name uncultured bacterium. RNAcentral describes it as "bacterial SSU rRNA". It matches the Rfam family "Bacterial small subunit ribosomal RNA", at positions 329 to 794 of the family's 1533-position model. The record is from RNAcentral.
GACCAGACUCCUACGGGAGGCAGCAGUGGGGAAUAUUGCACAAUGGGGGAAACCCUGAUGCAGCGACGCCGCGUGAGUGAAGAAGUAUUUCGGUAUGUAAAGCUCUAUCAGCAGGGAAGAAAAUGACGGUACCUGACUAAGAAGCCCCGGCUAAAUACGUGCCAGCAGCCGCGGUAAUACGUAUGGGGCAAGCGUUAUCCGGAUUUACUGGGUGUAAAGGGAGCGUAGGCGGCCUGGCAAGCCUGAUGUGAAAUACCGGGGCCCAACCCCGGGGCUGCAUUGGGAACUGCCAGGCUGGAGUGCCGGAGAGGCAGGCGGAAUUCCUAGUGUAGCGGUGAAAUGCGUAGAUAUUAGGAGGAACACCAGUGGCGAAGGCGGCCUGCUGGACGGUGACUGACGCUGAGGCUCGAAAGCGUGGGGAGCAAACAGGAUUAGAUACCCGCGUAGA